AGAAGACCCAAGUCCAAGAUUGAAGGCACAGCUUCUCCUGAGCAUGAACAUCGCUGUCUCACCACCGCAAAGUGAAAUACAGUCAAGGCCGGGGCUAUCUUCUGUGUUCCCCUGCCUGGCUUCUUCUAUGGACAUGUUUGCAAGCUUCUUCACCUUGCUGGACACUGGGACCACUUGUUAAGCUUUGCUGUCCAUCAGCAUCCCCAUUGGGACUGUGCCACCAUUUCCUUACUAGUAUUUCAGAAUCAUGGAGAAGGCUUCAUGAUGGGGCUACAAACCAAGCAAUGUUGACAAGCACCAGAAACUAAAAAGAGCAAGCAAGACUCCUACCAUCUGCAUCUUGACUUUGGACAUCUGAUCUCCAGAAUCACAAAGGGAUGGAUACAUUGCUGUCAUCUUGAGUCACUCAGCUCAUAGCACAACAUCACUGACAGAAAGGCCAGGCUACUGGGUGUGUAAGGGGGAAGAAGGAAAUGUAAGAUUACCAGGGACUAGUGGCAUCUCUUCUAAUCUCUGCACCAUGGAGUGAAAAGAAGAACACUUAGCUGCUUCCUCAAGGUAAAGCUGAAGACUCUGAGGACUCGUUGUCUAGAGAACACUUUCCAAUUGUAAUCAUGGACAAACCAGAAAAUGCUUUGGUGUGACGUAGGAAGGGUAUUUGUUAGGAAUCUCUCUCUCUCCCUCCCUCCCUUCCUCCCUCCUUCUCUCCCUUCCUCCUUCCCUCUCUCCCUCUCCCUUUCAUCUCAAACUCACACAUGAACACAUGAGCGCAAGUGUGUGCAUAACACACACAGAGACAUUAAAAAAAGAUAGAGAUGAUUACGGUGUUAAAAAGAUUCUCUAAAAUCUGAGAGGUUAUCAAGCCAUCUUGAUAAAAAAGGACUAUGAAUCAUGACAGCCGCAAUCUCAGAGCCUGACAGAAUUCACACUGGAAGUUUAUUAGGGAGGGGAUGACUUCAGAGAGACCACACGGUCUCAUCUUGUCACUGAACAGAAAACAUAUUAAUUCAGUUUAGCCACCUGGGACCCAUUUAGUGCACUAGAGCAGUAAUUUGCUAAAUGGGUCCCUCAUAGUAAAAUAGAAUGAGUAAAGACUGAGCAAUUUAGGAUGGUAAACCACUAGUAGCUCAAGGGAUAUACAAACGUGAAGCUAUAAUUAGAUUCCUUGUUCAUAAUGUAGAAACUAAAUACAUGGUAUAUUGUAUCUUUCUGAGUUUAUUUCUGGACACAGCUGAGCCCUUAAUAGUUCAGAUAGAAAUUAUCCCAGCUAUCAAUUCAUGCUUCCAUUAAAAUUCCAACUGUUUUAAUACAAAAUAAAUUCAAAGGUGGUUUCUUUUAUCUUAGCUGUAAGGAUGCACCCAGGAUUAACCUAGAGCGGCAAGUCAGUUAUAAACCAUGCUGCAGCAGAAAAUAAUGGAGUAUUGUGUUCUUGCUCUCUGAAUUUAGCUGUGGAAAUAUUUUAGCAAGUUGACAACCUUUACAUCUGAUGUUUCUUUUCAGGAUUAUCUUUUAGCUUUUUAAGAUGUGAUUCUUUGAGGCUGGUGACGUGACUCAGCAGAUAAAACCACUUGCCACUAAGUCUGACAACCAGGGUUCAAUUCCUGGGACACACAUGGUAGAUGCUUACUACACCUGUGGUUAGUCCUCUGUCUUCAGUAUGUGCACUAGGGCAUAGAUGCACAUGAGACCAUUAAAACAAAGAUGACAUUUUUUGUUUUUUGUGUGUGACUGCUCAGGAGGAGCAGGAAGACCUGGCUUCAAGCUCCAAAACAAAGUGAUUGCUUAGAAAAUGUGGCUAGGCAGAAAUAGCAGCAGAUUGCAUGCCUGGAAUGCUUCAAAGGGUAGGGCAUAGUGUGAUGUGCUAUGGGGUUACAGUGAUGCUUUCCCUACCCCCAACUAUUCGAAGCUGCCUGGAAAACAUUAAAAUUUUUUCUUUUUUAUUCGUAGCAAUUGCAUAGUGUGGGCUGGUAAAGAAGUCAGAGUGAUAUUCUAUGACACUAGAAACCUCCAUGCUUAAGUUCCAUUGCUCUUUAUCAAUUUGCUAUUUCAACUACAGGGUUCUGCUUUAUCUGGUGCUACAAGGAUGUCUACUCUUUCAGAAUUCUCAUUUUCUUUCUUUCCUUUCAUAUCACUAUUUAGUCUCUUCAGGAAGGUUUAGGAUCAAAUUGUGGUGGUCCUUUCUUGCUAUUCUGCUAUCCCUGCCAGUGGGAUUCCUGAGACUAUUGGGGUAGGACAUUUUUCAGAUUACAGAUUCUAUGUACAAAAUCUGGCAAAAUUGCAUUUGUUUUCCAUCUGCUUUUAAAAAUAUUCUCUUGUAGCACUAAUUCUAAUUGGUCUUAAUAAUAAAAACUCAGAGUCAGAUAUUGGGGUUAAAGCCAAAGAUCAGCGAAGCAAAGCGGCCAAGCCACUAGAGAGUUCUCACCUCUCUCUACCAAUGCUCAGACCAAAAAGGUGACCCUGUCUUCAGUGUGACUGCAGACUGCAUCAGUCUUCACCAAACUUCAGACUGCACUGAACUCCUAUCUCCUCCAGCCUUAUAUUCCUCUCUAGUACUGGGAUAAAUUCGUGGGAUCCCAAGUGCUUUGUGUGAGUUCUGUUUCUCUUUUAGACUGGAUAAAUUUCAUGUAGCUCAAGAUGGCCUUGAUAGACAGAUCUGUCUAUCUAUGUCUCCCAAGUGCUGGCAUUAAAGGUGUGUACCACCACUGCCUGGCCUCUAUGGCUAACUAAUGUGGCUAGCUUUGCACUCUGAUCUUUAGGCAGGCUUUAUUUGUUAGAUCAUAAACACAAUAUCACAUUUUCUUGACAAUUUUAUUUACUAUGCACAUGGGUAUUCUGCCUGCAUGUAUGUCUGUGCACCUCAUGCAUGCAAUGUCCCUAGAGGCUAGACUAAGCAUUGGAUUCCCUGGAACUAGAGUUACACAAGGUUGUGAAACACUAUCUCGGCGCUGGAACUCAGGAUCCAGGUCCUCUGGUUGAGUAGCCGGUGAUGAUAAUUGCUCAGCUGUUUCUCCAGCUCCAACACCUGUUGUUCUUCUAUGCAGUGAGGAUAAUUUUCUUUAUAUGGAGAUAGUUACUUUUCUUAUUGCUGUUAAAAACACCUAACAAAAGGUUGUCGGGCACCUCAAUAGCAAGGGCAUAUUUUGGCUCACAGCUGGAGGGUAGAGAGCAUCAUAGCAGAGAGGACAUUGUGGCAGGAGUAUGAGACAGCGGGUCACAUUUAAACCUCUCUGAAAUCACCCUUAAAGACACAGCCAGAAGUGUUUCUCUGGUGAUUCUAAAUUCAAUCAAGUUGGAUUUAAUAAAGUGAGUUAAUUCAUUGCUCUAACAGUGUCUGGUAAUUAUAACUUCUUUUUUGAGACAGAGUGUCACCAUGUAGACCAGGUUGGCUUCAGACUCUCAGACAUCUGACAUUCUAUCUCCUAAGUGCUAGGAUUAAAGGCACUGC
Molecule: long non-coding RNA, 3445 nt
Filed under: Cricetulus griseus (Chinese hamster)
Lineage: Eukaryota; Metazoa; Chordata; Mammalia; Rodentia; Cricetidae
Description: lncRNA (ENSCGRG00015043440.1)
Source: RNAcentral